This 468-nucleotide ribosomal RNA is filed under the name uncultured bacterium. RNAcentral's name for it is "partial 16S ribosomal RNA". It matches the Rfam family "Bacterial small subunit ribosomal RNA", at positions 28 to 507 of the family's 1533-position model. The record is from RNAcentral.
GACGAACGCUGGCGGCGUGCUUAACACAUGCAAGUCGAACGGAAAGGCCCUGCUUUUGUGGGGUGCUCGAGUGGCGAACGGGUGAGUAACACGUGAGUAACCUGCCCUUGACUUUGGGGUAACUUCCGGAAACUGGGGCUACUACCGGAUAGGAGCUCCUGCUGCAUGGUGGGGGUUGGAAAGUUUCGGCGGUUGGGGAUGGACUCGCGGCUUAUCAGCUUGUUGGUGGGGUAGUGGCUUACCAAGGCUUUGACGGGUAGCCGGCCUGAGAGGGUGACCGGCCACAUUGGGACUGAGAUACGGCCCAGACUCCUACGGGAGGCAGCAGUGGGGAAUAUUGCACAAUGGGCGGAAGCCGGAUGCAGCAACGCCGCGUGCGGGAUGACGGCCUUCGGGUGGUAAACCGCUUUCGCCUGUGACGAAGCGUGAGUGACGGUAAUGGGUAAAGAAGCACCGGCUAACUACGUG